UACGGAGGAUGCGAGCGUUAUCCGGAUUUAUUGGGUUUAAAGGGUGCGUAGGCGGGAUGCCAAGUCAGCGGUAAAAAUGCGGUGCUCAACGCCGUCGAGCCGUUGAAACUGGCGUUCUUGAGUGGGCGAGAAGUAUGCGGAAUGCGUGGUGUAGCGGUGAAAUGCAUAGAUAUCACGCAGAACUCCGAUUGCGAAGGCAGCAUACCGGCGCCCUACUGACGCUGAGGCACGAAAGUGUGGGUAUCAAACAGG
This 252-nucleotide ribosomal RNA is filed under the name uncultured bacterium. RNAcentral's name for it is "partial 16S ribosomal RNA". It matches the Rfam family "Bacterial small subunit ribosomal RNA", at positions 524 to 776 of the family's 1533-position model. The record is from RNAcentral.